RNAcentral lists this long non-coding RNA (573 nucleotides) under Medicago truncatula (barrel medic). RNAcentral describes it as "long non-coding RNA (MTRU_LNC005354)". The record is from RNAcentral. Lineage: Eukaryota; Viridiplantae; Streptophyta; Magnoliopsida; Fabales; Fabaceae.
GAUGGAACAGGUAUCUCAGAAGGUUGGGCUUCAGCAUCUUCUUGGGGUUGGAUUGCAGUAGGCUCAUUAUGCGCUUCCACCCCAUGAAUUUCAGCAUUUGUUUUAGAAAAGGACUCUUCAGCAUCUUCUUGGGGUUGGACAGCCAUAGGCUCAUUAUGUGCUUCAACCCCAUGAGUUUCAGCAUUUGUUUUAGAAUAGGACUCUUCAGCAUUUUCUUGGGGUUGGACUGCCAUAGGCUCAUUAUGUUCUUCCACCCCAUGAGUUUUAGCAUUCGUUUUAGAAUAAGACUCUUGAUCGUUUCCUUUUUCAAGCGAAAGGCUAUCUAAACCAUUGUGACAAACCUUGAUUCGACUCAGAUCUAAUGUCUCGUUUUGCAGAAUAGUCAAAUCAGCAGACACAUCUGGAAGAAAUGAGAAAAUCAAAUCAAGUAUGUUGGAGGUAAAUUUCACAAAUGAACCCAAAUACAAAUUGCGUUUUCAUCAAAACUCAACUAAACAUGAUUUUAUAACUGUUUUAUGUUUUUAGAUGAAAACUCCAAAUGAUCAACAGUACAAUAUAUAAGCUGAAAAUUCA